GGGUACGGAGGCGGCUCCCCUUCCCUCGCGCCGUCCUGCUCUCACACCGGGCCCCACCGUCCUGUGAGCAGGAAGGGAUUUCGAUGGUUUUUGUUUGUAAAGACCCUGAGCGUGCCGGGGCAGGGCUCUAGGCCCGCUUGACGCUGUUGAGGAGCUCGAGCAACUAAAAGACUACAAAUACAGAAAUAUAAGAAGGGGGAGGUGGAAAAGGAGGCACUUUUGUCAGGGUGUGAAAAGGAAAAGAGGCUUCCCAAUAUAUGGUGCAACUCCAAAAUAUCCAGACUGGACCCUGCUCAUGGAGAAGAAACAGUCAAGUGAAUAUCUUGAUUCUGAUUUCUCCAGGCCUUUGCAUAGUGAACAAGCAUCUCUCUGGUGUUGGGAUGGUAGGAUCAGAACUUAUCUAUUUGCUUUACAUCCUCAAAUGUAAGUAUUUGAUCCUCCAAAUAGUGUCAGUCCCCAUCGACUGACAAGUGACAUCAGCUCCGCAAUUCAUUUAAAACAUCUGAUCUCCAAGCAACUGGCUUCCCAGAUGAAAAGCCCUACGUGUGGAAUUUACACCUACCCACCUUUUAAGUAGAGAGUUUAUUACCUAGUGGUUUUCAGCUGAUAUUUAGGAAUGUCUUUUUAAUACCCCUGUUAACAGAAGUUGAAAGGAGGUUCGGCUAUGUGGUUGGUCUUUAAUGUCCACUGGCUACUUCAGCCAGAAGGAAAGGGCAGGGCUGGGGGAGGAAGGAGAGCCUAACAAGAUUAAUUUUGCUCAGAAAUGAGAAGAAACAGCUAUUACCAAAAUAAUAGAAGCUGUUUCUGCAGGAAAACUCUGUUAGCACUUAGUGCAGCUAAUUGUGUCAGCUUUCACAUUUAAAAACGUUUGUGUGCUUGUAAUGGGAGGGAUAUAUCACCAUUUUUCAUGGGAGGGAUGGAUGUUGCAAGUAUUUCAAGAUCAUACCUAUUGCAAGUAUUUCAAGAUCAUCUACACCUCCUCUGUUACCCAAAAGUAUACAUUCAAAUAUAAUAAAUUAUGAAGUACAAUAUA
Passer domesticus (house sparrow) is the source of this 1033-nucleotide long non-coding RNA. RefSeq lists it as uncharacterized. The transcript has 3 exons. Lineage: Eukaryota; Metazoa; Chordata; Aves; Passeriformes; Passeridae. The record is from RefSeq and is a predicted model, not a curated record.